Molecule: ribosomal RNA, 419 nt
Filed under: uncultured rumen bacterium
Lineage: Bacteria
Description: bacterial SSU rRNA
Rfam family: Bacterial small subunit ribosomal RNA
Source: RNAcentral
GUGGGGGAUAUUGCACAAUGGAGGAAACUCUGAUGCAGCGACGCCGCGUGAGUGAAGAAGUAUUUCGGUAUGUAAAGCUCUAUCAGCAGGGAAGAAAGACUCGUAAGAGAGAUGACGGUACCUGACUAAGAAGCCCCGGCUAACUACGUGCCAGCAGCCGCGGUAAUACGUAGGGGGCAAGCGUUAUCCGGAUUUACUGGGUGUAAAGGGAGCGCAGACGGCUUAGCAAGUCUGAAGUGAAACCCCACGGCUCAACCGUGGGCUUGCUUUGGAAACUGUUUAGCUAGAGUACUGGAGAGGUAAGCGGAAUUCCUAGUGUAGCGGUGAAAUGCGUAGAUAUUAGGAGGAACAUCGGUGGCGAAGGCGGCUUACUGGACAGCAACUGACGUUGAGGCUCGAAGGCGUGGGGAGCAAACAGG